AAGUCGUAACAAGGUUUCCGUAGGUGAACCUGCGGAAGGAUCAUUAACAAAUUAUGUUGGGUGGUUGGUGGGGGGGGUUUGGAGUGUGUGUGUGUGUGUGGGGGGUGUAUGUAUGUAUGCCUCCCCUACACACGCAUUGCGACCUCGCCAUCAUCACCGCACACAUUGACCCGGGGCCACCAGGCUCCGAUAUUCACGCUUGUUUGUAUGACAGAGUAUAUCACGUGACAUGAAAUAUAAACAACUUUUAACAAUGGAUCUCUUGGCUCUU
This 271-nucleotide unclassified non-coding RNA is filed under the name fungal sp. Its description in RNAcentral is "partial contains small subunit ribosomal RNA, internal transcribed spacer 1, and 5.8S ribosomal RNA". The stretch from base 1 to 46 matches the Rfam family "Eukaryotic small subunit ribosomal RNA", at positions 1786 to 1831 of the family's 1831-position model. Lineage: Eukaryota; Fungi. The record is from RNAcentral.